CCCUUAGACGUUCUGGGCCGCACGCGCGCUACACUGACCAGUGCAACAAGCAUCCGUCCUUGGCCGACAGGCUCGGGCAAUCUUUGAACGCUGGUCGUGAUGGGGAUAGACUUUUGCAAUUUUUGGUCUUCAACGAGGAAUUCCUAGUAAACGCAAGUCAUCAACUUGCAUUGAUUACGUCCCUGCCCUUUGUACACACCGCCCGUCGCACCUACCGAUUGAAUGGUCCGGUGAAGCCUCCGGAUUGGCGCGUGCCCUCGGGCGCCGCCGAGAAGUUGGUUAAACCUUACCAUUUAGAGGAAGGUGAAGUCGUAACA
RNAcentral lists this ribosomal RNA (317 nucleotides) under uncultured eukaryote. Its description in RNAcentral is "partial 18S ribosomal RNA". It matches the Rfam family "Eukaryotic small subunit ribosomal RNA", at positions 1470 to 1796 of the family's 1831-position model. The record is from RNAcentral.